RNAcentral lists this ribosomal RNA (443 nucleotides) under uncultured bacterium. RNAcentral describes it as "partial 16S ribosomal RNA". It matches the Rfam family "Bacterial small subunit ribosomal RNA", at positions 338 to 795 of the family's 1533-position model. The record is from RNAcentral.
CCUACGGGUGGCUGCAGUGGGGAAUAUUGGGCAAUGGGCGCAAGCCUGACCCAGCAACGCCGCGUGAAGGAAGAAGGCUUUCGGGUUGUAAACUUCUUUUCUCAGGGACGAAGCAAGUGACGGUACCUGCGGAAUAAGCCACGGCUAACUACGUGCUAGCAGCCGCGGUAAUACGUAGGUGGCAAGCGUUAUCCGGAUUUACUGGGUGUAAAGGGCGUGUAGGCGGGGACGCAAGUCAGAUGUGAAAACCACGGGCUCAACCUGUGGCCUGCAUUUGAAACUGUGAUUCUUGAGUGCUGGAGAGGCAGAUGGAAUUCCUAGUGUAGCGGUGAAAUGCGUAGAUAUUAGGAGGAACACCAGUGGCGAAGGCAGUCUGCUGGACAGCAACUGACGCUGAGACGCGAAAGCGUGGGGAGCAAACAGGAUUAGAUACCCGAGUAGUC